This 367-nucleotide ribosomal RNA is filed under the name uncultured bacterium. RNAcentral describes it as "bacterial SSU rRNA". It matches the Rfam family "Bacterial small subunit ribosomal RNA", at positions 527 to 896 of the family's 1533-position model. The record is from RNAcentral.
GGAGGAUUCAAGCGUUAUCCGGAUUUAUUGGGUUUAAAGGGUGCGUAGGCGGCUUAUUAAGUCAGGGGUGAAAGACGGUGGCUCAACCAUCGCAGUGCCUUUGAUACUGAUGAGCUUGAAUACACUUGAGGUAGGCGGAAUGUGACAAGUAGCGGUGAAAUGCAUAGAUAUGUCACAGAACACCAAUUGCGAAGGCAGCUUACUAAAGUGUGAUUGACGCUGAGGCACGAAAGCGUGGGGAUCAAACAGGAUUAGAUACCCUGGUAGUCCACGCCCUAAACGAUGAAUACUCGAUGUUAGCGAUAUACAGUUAGCCUCUAAGCGAAAGCGUUAAGUAUUCCACCUGGGGAGUACGCCCGCAAGGGUG